GUGGGUGAUCUGCCCUGCACUCUGGGAUAAGCCUGGGAAACUGGGUCUAAUACUGGAUAUGACCUCAGCAUGCAUGUGCUGGGGUGGAAAGCUUUUGUGGUGCAGGAUGGGCCCGCGGCCUAUCAGCUUGUUGGUGGGGUAAUGGCCUACCAAGGCGACGACGGGUAGCCGACCUGAGAGGGUGACCGGCCACACUGGGACUGAGACACGGCCCAGACUCCUACGGGAGGCAGCAGUGGGGAAUAUUGCACAAUGGGCGGAAGCCUGAUGCAGCGACGCCGCGUGAGGGAUGAAGGCCUUCGGGUUGUAAACCUCUUUCAGCAGGGACGAAGCGUGAGUGACGGUACCUGCAGAAGAAGCACCGGCUAACUACGUGCCAGCAGCCGCGGUAAUACGUAGGGUGCGAGCGUUGUCC
Molecule: ribosomal RNA, 415 nt
Filed under: Corynebacterium sp. F317
Lineage: Bacteria; Bacillati; Actinomycetota; Actinomycetes; Mycobacteriales; Corynebacteriaceae
Description: bacterial SSU rRNA
Rfam family: Bacterial small subunit ribosomal RNA
Source: RNAcentral